UCAUCCCCACCCACUGCCCCCACCUCCACGACACACCUCUCUCUCCCUCUCUCACCGUUGCCUCCAUCCAAAAACGAAGAUCGAGAUGGUUCUGAUUCAGACAACCACAAGCAGCGGCUAGGGUUCGGUAGCGUGCAACUGUGUUAGAUGUUGGUUACCGUGGUCCAUGGCGACGACGGGGAUGUUGACUGCGGGUUAGGGUUCAGGCACUUGGCGGCGACGUAGGGUGCUUAGAUGACGGAGAAGAGAGUUCAACAGUGAAUAGACGACAGUCGGAGUCAUAGCUGCGAUUCCUACCAGUUGGGGUUCCAGUCCACCGCCGGAGAAGACGUAAGACGACCCUGGUGCUAACGGCACCGGAGGAGGAAGAAUCGAAAUGCAAUAUAUGUUCUUAAUAUUGAUAUUCACCAAAUCAUCUUCUUCAACCAGCCGCCAAUCACUCUACUCCUCCAUCUCCGCUCCUGCUUCACGAUUAACCUCCGAUCGUUUCAAUUCGCCGCUCCACUCGAUCUCGUUUGUAUACGCUCAUUUCGCUUCAAUGGUAACCACAAGCACAAGCAAUGGACGUUUUCUACUGUCGAUCAUCAAUUCAUCAUCUCGUAGCUGUAUAUUUGACAUCUGAUGAAAUAAAUCAUUCUAUGCUUGAAACAAUGCAAUCGGGUGUGCGGAAGCUUGAUGUUAACAUAACGAAAUUGAGACAGUCACAAUGGGGUGUUUAAAGUACCUGUCUUUAGUUGGCUAAAUAGAUAAGGGAUUGUUUUAGUGGGAUGGAUAAUACGUGACAGACUGGAGUUGGGUUUGUAAAGCGAAUGGGCUAGUGCAACUUUAGUGGGCUCCGAUAUUAGAGUCUUGUUCAUGAACCAUUAAAUAUUAAUAGGUGAAUGCUACACCCUAAAUAAGUUAUCAAGUUUUUCUUCCUACAAUCACAAGUUUUUCUUCCUACAAUCACUGUGGUUCAAUUUGUUGAUGCUAUUCCUCUUCUUUGGUUUUGGGAUCAGAUUCUUCAACUCGGUUAUGGUGUAAGUCAGAUGUGUAAGGACUGGAAAACGGGGUGCGGGUCUCAACACUCUCAUCAGUCGCAAUAUUCCGACCUAUCAUGAAAUGAGACGGAACAUUCAAGUUAGAAGGUCAUGUGUUCCAGCAUUGGUUGUCUUGUCGAGUGUAGUUCUUGAGUAUUGAUCUUCUACUCCAUGUUGAGUAUGCUAGACAAAUAAAUUCAUAGCACUGGUAUUAUAUAGGUACAUCAAUAACUGCAAGUACCACUAUAUAACUUCUAGAGAAGUGGAGAUCAUGGGCACAAAAUGUGGAGCAAACCACCUGGUUACAAAACUGCAAUUAACUGCCAUGAACUGCCACUUCAGCGGUUUUUUUAGGGAGUUUAAAGGGCUGAGAUUUAAUCUCAGCAAGAUCCAAUAGUCAAUAUUGAUUUGGAGGGUGGUUAGACUUAAUGGGUUCCAUAUAUAUAUAUAUAUAAUUAGUCGGUCAUAUAGUUUAGUAGUUGUUUGCGUGGUUACACCAAGUGACAAAAAAACAUCAAAACAAGAUUGUAUUAUGGUGCAUAACUUUAUUGUCAUACUUUUUAUCC
Helianthus annuus (common sunflower) is the source of this 1585-nucleotide long non-coding RNA. RefSeq lists it as uncharacterized. The record is from RefSeq and is a predicted model, not a curated record. The transcript has 9 exons. Lineage: Eukaryota; Viridiplantae; Streptophyta; Magnoliopsida; Asterales; Asteraceae.